RNAcentral lists this ribosomal RNA (484 nucleotides) under uncultured bacterium. RNAcentral's name for it is "partial 16S ribosomal RNA". It matches the Rfam family "Bacterial small subunit ribosomal RNA", at positions 28 to 523 of the family's 1533-position model. The record is from RNAcentral.
AAUGAACGUUGGCGGCGUGGAUUAGGCAUGCAAGUCGAGCGAGAACUAGUAGCAAUACUGGGGAAAGCGGCGAAAGGGAGAGUAAUACGUAGGUACCUACCCUCGGGUCUGGGAUAGCUGCGGGAAACUGCAAUUAAUACCGGAUGACGUCUCUGGACCAAAGGUGUGAUUCCGCCAGGGGAUGGGCCUGCGUCCUAUUAGCUAGUUGGCGGGGUAAUGGCCCACCAAGGCUAAGAUGGGUACGGGGUGUGAGAGCAUGCCCCCGCUCACUGGGACUGAGACACUGCGCAGACUACUACGGGUGGCUGCAGUCGAGGAUCUUCCGCAAUGGGCUCAAGCCUGGCGGAGCGACGCCGCGUGCGGGAUGAAGGCCUUCGGGUUGUAAACCGCUGUCAGUGGGGAGCAAAUGCAUCAGGGUUCUCCCUGGUGUUUGAGCGAUCCGCAGAGGAAGCACAGGCUAAUUCCGUGCCAGCAGCCGCGGUAA